GACGAACGCUGGCGGCGUGCUUAACACAUGCAAGUCGAACGGAAAGGCCCUGCUUUUGUGGUGUGCUCGAGUGGCGAACGUGUGAGUAACACGUGAGUAACCUGCCUUUGACUUUGGGAUAACUUCAGUAAACUGGGGCUACUACCGGAUAUGAGCUCCUGCUGCAUGGUGUGGGUUGGAAAGUUUCGGCGGUUGGGGAUGGACUCGCGGCUUAUCAGCUUGUUGGUGGGGUAGUGGCUUACCAAGGCUUUUACGGGUAGCCGGCCUGAGAGGGUGACCGGCCACAUUGGGACGACGAUACGGCCCAGACGCCUACGGGAGGAAGCAGUGGGGAAUAUUGCACAAUGGGCGGAAGCCUGAUGCAGCAACGCCGCGUGCGGGAUGACGGCCUUCGUGUUGUAAACCGCUUUCGCCUGUGACGAAGCGUGAGUGACGGUAAUGGGUAAAGAAGCACCGGCUAACUACGUG
Molecule: ribosomal RNA, 468 nt
Filed under: uncultured bacterium
Lineage: Bacteria
Description: partial 16S ribosomal RNA
Rfam family: Bacterial small subunit ribosomal RNA
Source: RNAcentral